RNAcentral lists this long non-coding RNA (892 nucleotides) under Astyanax mexicanus (Mexican tetra). Its description in RNAcentral is "lncRNA (ENSAMXG00005004672.1)". Lineage: Eukaryota; Metazoa; Chordata; Actinopteri; Characiformes; Acestrorhamphidae. The record is from RNAcentral.
UUGCUAACCGCUAACUGUGUUUCCGAGCUGAUUAAAUGGCUGAUGUUAAAUAACAGAGGCAUGGCGCUGUGCUAGUUAGAUUAGUAGGUUCUUAGGUUUAUUAUAAUAUGUGGAUAAUGACUUUAGUCCACUCCAGUCUUUAGUUAUCGAUCUCAGAACACUGGAAUGCAGCUAGUGGCUCAGCGCUAGCUAACAGCCGAACUCAGCAGUAAAGAUAGGAGGUUGUUAGCCUGGAAGUGAACUGAAUUCUGAGAUGAAUUAAUCGCUGAUGUUUGAUAUCAGAGUGGUGUUACUGUGCUGGUUAGAUACGCCUUGAAGACUGCUGUGGGAAGGGCUUGAUAGGUGGCAGAGACAGACCUGGGGUUCCAUUCCCAUUAUUCUAACACACCUAACAGACUCUAACAUGGAGCUGAGAAUGAGAAACCUGGACUGCUCCAUACAGGAACCAUAUCAUCUUACUGACAAAUCCAGGUUCUGUUUGGGAUCCAACAGCGGUCAGUUUUGUGGGACAACGAUAAUCACCUCUGUACUCCCUAUGGCCGGUCUAUCCCUAGCUGAACACCAGCUUCAGCAACUUAUGUGUGUACAGGAUCUACAGGCCCAGCAGCAACAUCUGUAGGCAAAUGUGCUGCAUGACGCCAUACUGAACCUGAAUACAUCCAUUCCCAACCAUGUCUCAUCUUGUGUCCAGGCCAGAUGUGUCCCAAAAAGGUACUGGAACCUCCUUUCAAAUGUAAAGUUUUUGUUAGAAAUGUGUCCUUUCGGUAUAAUAUUGUAAUCACUUAGAUAAUUAUGUCAUUCAUUUCUGCAUUGUAGAUUAAUACAAAAGUCAUUCAAACUAUGAAAAAAGGAAUUAUUUAAUAAACAAAAAAGUUUAAUGUGUUUGAGAGCA